RNA transcript from Eucalyptus grandis, 1179 nucleotides. It is a transcript of the gene named glycine-rich RNA-binding protein RZ1A, with no coding region annotated. The transcript has 3 exons. Lineage: Eukaryota; Viridiplantae; Streptophyta; Magnoliopsida; Myrtales; Myrtaceae. The record is from RefSeq and is a predicted model, not a curated record.
UGAAAAAUCUGACUUAUGAAAUGUUUUCUCACAUAUUUUUUAUAAAAUAAAUACCAUAUAUAUUGGACAUUGCCAAAUCCGAGAUAAUUAUCGUGUAUUGAAUUUUUGCAUUUUUUUAUAAUUAAUGCUUUCGACGCCGUCAGUUUCCGACCAUGUUCAUCUCCUCCCUUCCGUCCGGUGGCUCUCCUCAAACCGAGAGGCUUGCAGAGAGUUUAGAGAGAGAGGGAAGACGAGCUUCGAUGGAGUCAACCAUAUCCAAGACUCUCUCUCUCUCUCUCUAUCCUCAUCUCCCUCCUCCCUCAAUCCCUUCAUCUCCUCCGGCUCUCGCGAGGUUCCGCUUGCGGUGCGUUCCGAGCUUCGCUGCGGCUGACACGGUGGCGGCGGCGGCAGCGGCGGAGUUCACGGUGAGGAUGGGAAGGCGAAAUCGGCCGUGGAUGGAGCCGAUGAAGCCUCAGCCGUCUGCUCUCGCAGUUUAUGUGAAUGGAAUGACUUGUGGGGGAUGUGCAGCGAGCUUGAAGAGAAUUCUGGAAAAUCAAGGGGUGGUUGACAAGUUCUCUGGAUGCUCCCGUGGAUUUGGUUAUGAGAAGAAGCAAGCAAUGGAUGAGGCUAUUGAGGAAAUGAAUGGACUUGGACGGGAGAAAUAUCAUUGAGGAAAAAGCUCAGCCUUGAGGUUCAGGUAGAGACUGAGAUGGUGAUUGCAGUCGUGAUUGUGGUCAUAAUUGUGGCCUCAGUUGGGACUCUGGUGGUGGACAUGGAGGUGGAGGUUCAGAGUGCUUUAAGUGUGACAAGCCUGGGCAUUUGCACGGGAGUGUCCUCGUGAAGGGGGCUGGGGAGGUAGGUAUGGGGGGAGGGAUGACAGGUAUGGAGUUGGUGGUGGUGGGCACUAUGGUCCUGAUCGAAAUGGUGAUUGAUCUGGAGGGCGCAAUAGGGAUAGUGGUACUCAAGGAGGAUCAGGAAAUGCUCCUAUAAUCAGGACCGUUCUGGUCCCUAUGAACAUUGUGGUACAGGGAACUUCCGUCCGGGGUAGAAAGAAUACUACUGAUAGCUAUGCACAUAAUUUUUUCCAGUUAUAGUAAAGCAGUUGAUUCUGUGUUGGUUGAAAAAUAUUUGGUCCUUGUAGCAGAGCAAUUGGAGGUACUGCUGUUACUUUCUGGAGGUGUCAAAGUCCCUUUUGCUGAA